GACGAACGCUGGCGGCGUGCUUAACACAUGCAAGUCGAACGGCAAGGCCCUGCUUUUGUGGGGUGCUCGAGUGGCGAACGGGUGAGUAACACGUGAGUAACCUGCCCUUGACUUUGGGAUAACUUCAGGAAACUGGGGCUAAUACCGGAUAGGAGCUCCUGCUGCAUGGUGGGGGUUGGAAAUUUUCGGCGGUUGGGGAUGGACUCGCGGCUUAUCAGCUUGUUGGUGGGGUAGUGGCUUACCAAGGCUUUGACGGGUAGCCGGCCUGAGAGGGUGACCGGCCACAUUGGGACUGAGGUACGGCCCAGACUCCUACGGGAGGCAGCAGUGGGGAAUAUUGCACAAUGGGCGGAAGCCUGAUGCAGAAACGCCGCGUGCGGGAUGACGGCCUUCGGGUUGUAAACAGCUUUCGCCUGUGACGAAGCGUGAGUGACGGUAAUGGGUAAAGAAGCACCGGCUAACUACGUG
Molecule: ribosomal RNA, 468 nt
Filed under: uncultured bacterium
Lineage: Bacteria
Description: partial 16S ribosomal RNA
Rfam family: Bacterial small subunit ribosomal RNA
Source: RNAcentral